UCAAUAAGCGGAGGAAAAGAAACUAACAAGGACUCCCCUAGUUACAGCGAGCGAACCGGGAAGAGCUCAAAUUUGAAAUCUGGCGUCCCACGGGCGUCCGAGUUGUAAUCUGCAGAGGCGUCUUCCGCCCCGGACAGAGUCCAAGUCCCUUGGAACAGGGUAUCAAAGAGGGUGACAAUCCCGUGCUUGACGCGACCCCCGGUGCUAUGUGAUGCGACCUCAAAGAGUCGAGUUGUUUGGGAAUGCAGCUCAAAACGGGUGGUAAAUUCCAUCUAAGGCUAAAUAUUGGCGAGAGACCGAUAGCGAACAAGUACCGUGAGGGAAAGAUGAAAAGCACUUUGGAAAGAGAGUUAAACAGUACGUGAAAUUGUUGGAAGGGAAACGAUUGAAGUCAGUCGUGUCCGAGGGGUUCAGCCGGUCCUGCCGGUGCACUCCCCUCGGACGGGUCAACAUCGGUUCUGUCCGGCGGACAAGGGCAGGGGGAACGUGGCACCCUCGUGGUGUGUUAUAGCCCCCCGUCGCAUACGUCGGUCGGGACCGAGGAUCGCAGCUCGCCCUCACGGGCCGGGGUUCGCCCACGUCCGAGCUUAGGAUGUUGACGUAAUGGCUUUAAACGACCCGUCUUGAAAC
Molecule: ribosomal RNA, 630 nt
Filed under: Tremella mesenterica
Lineage: Eukaryota; Fungi; Basidiomycota; Tremellomycetes; Tremellales; Tremellaceae
Description: LSU rRNA
Rfam family: Eukaryotic large subunit ribosomal RNA
Source: RNAcentral